This 301-nucleotide ribosomal RNA is filed under the name uncultured Lactobacillus sp. Its description in RNAcentral is "bacterial SSU rRNA". It matches the Rfam family "Bacterial small subunit ribosomal RNA", at positions 495 to 795 of the family's 1533-position model. The record is from RNAcentral. Lineage: Bacteria; Bacillati; Bacillota; Bacilli; Lactobacillales; Lactobacillaceae.
UGCGAGUUGCGGGCCAGCAGCCGCGGUAAUACGAAUGUAGGGAGCGUUGUUCGGAAUCACUGGGCUUAAAGCGUGCGUAGGUGGAUUGGUAAGUAAGGAGUGAAAUCCCAGGGCUUAACCCUGGAACUGCUCUUUAGACUGCCUGUCUGGAAUUCGGAAGAGGUUGGUGGAACUCCCAGUGUAGAGGUGAAAUUCGCAGAUAUUGGGAAGAACACCGGUGGCGAAGGCGACCAACUGGUCCGACAUUGACACUGAGGCACGAAAGCGUGGGUAGCAAACAGGAUUAGAUACCCUGGUAGUC